This 434-nucleotide ribosomal RNA is filed under the name uncultured bacterium. Its description in RNAcentral is "partial 16S ribosomal RNA". It matches the Rfam family "Bacterial small subunit ribosomal RNA", at positions 29 to 507 of the family's 1533-position model. The record is from RNAcentral.
AGCGAACGCUGGCGGCAGGCCUAACACAUGCGAGUCGAACGAACCUUUCGGGGUUAGUGGCGGACGGGUGAGUAACACGUGGGAACGUGUCUUUAGGUUCGGAAUAACUCAGGGAAACUUGUGCUAAUACCGAAUGUGCCCUUCGGGGGAAAGAUUAAUCGCCUUUAGAGCGGCCCGCGUCUGAUUAGCUAGUUGGUUGAGGUAAUGGCUCACCAAGGCGACGAUCAGUAGCUGGUCUGAGAGGAUGAUCAGCCACAUUGGGACUGAGACACGGCCCAAACUCCUACGGGAGGCAGCAGUGGGGAAUCUUGCGCAAUGGGCGAAAGCCUGACGCAGCCAUGCCGCGUGAAUGAUGAAGGUCUUAGGAUUGUAAAAUUCUUUCACCGGGGACGAUAAUGACGGUACCCGGAGAAGAAGCCCCGGCUAACUUCGUG